GACGAACGCUGGCGGCGUGCUUAACACAUGCAAGUCGAGCGGUAAGGCCCUUUCGGGGGUACGACGAGCGGCGAACGGGUGAGUAACACGUGGGUGACCUGCCCUCAGCUCUGGGAUAAGCCUGGGAAACCGGGUCUAAUACUGGAUAUGACUCCAUGACGCAUGUUGUGGGGUGGAAAGCCUUGUGCGGCUGAGGAUGGGCCCGCGGCCUAUCAGCUUGUUGGUGGGGUGANGGCCUACCAAGGCGACGACGGGUAGCCGGCCUGAGAGGGCGACCGGCCACACUGGGACUGAGACACGGCCCAGACUCCUACGGGAGGCAGCAGUGGGGAAUCUUGCGCAAAUGGGCGAAAAGCCUGACGCAGCGACGCCGCGUGAGGGAUGACGGCCU
RNAcentral lists this ribosomal RNA (391 nucleotides) under uncultured bacterium. RNAcentral describes it as "bacterial SSU rRNA". It matches the Rfam family "Bacterial small subunit ribosomal RNA", at positions 28 to 417 of the family's 1533-position model. The record is from RNAcentral.